Molecule: long non-coding RNA, 659 nt
Organism: Eriocheir sinensis (Chinese mitten crab)
Lineage: Eukaryota; Metazoa; Arthropoda; Malacostraca; Decapoda; Varunidae
Exons: 3
Source: RefSeq, a predicted model, not a curated record
CACUUUCUUCCUUUCUUCCUUAUUUCACUUUUCAUCCUUAUUCCAUCUAUUAUCUGUAUUCAAAAGCCAAGAAUAGACGUAAGGAACCUAUAAUCUACCUCUAAAUCACGCUUCGCUACCGUCCACCGUUGCCAAUAGAAAACGGGAGCGAGGGGUGUUGACAUUCAAGGCGGGAGGCAGAGUCCGGAAACUGCUCGGAGGAAUCACCUUUUUCCUCUGUCCCAAGGUGAUCCUGUCCCCUCUUAAGCUGCAGGUUCUCCUUAUCAACCCCCCCGACCUCAACAACACCCCCAGGUCCCCCCAGCCUUCCCCCAGGGUCACGUGGAGUCUGAAGCCUGUAUGUGUUGCCCCGUGACCUACCCCAGGGGACGAUAACCUCUGGGGGGGUCAAAGGUCACCACCAUCACCCUUAAGACGGCCAGUGGGUUGAAGGCUUGCUCGAGAGGACCUUUGGGAGUGGAGGCUGGUGAGUGAAGCAAUGCGCCCCCUUAUGUAUGCUCCCCAUUAGUUAGGAGGAUGACCCAGCUGAAGUGUUUGUGUAAGGGAGUGUUUUCCUCUUGUAAAUUUCUCUCCUCUUCCUCCUCCGCCUCCUCUUCUUCCUCCAUCUUGCUGAAUACUUCAUUGCAUCUACUUUAGAGAGAGAGAGAGAGAGAGAGAGA